AAGGUCUUCGGAUCGUAAAGCUCUGUUGUCAGGGAAGAACAAGUACCGUUCGAACAGGGCGGUACCUUGACGGUACCUGACCAGAAAGCCACGGCUAACUACGUGCCAGCAGCCGCGGU
This 119-nucleotide ribosomal RNA is filed under the name uncultured Bacillus sp. RNAcentral describes it as "partial 16S ribosomal RNA". It matches the Rfam family "Bacterial small subunit ribosomal RNA", at positions 411 to 521 of the family's 1533-position model. The record is from RNAcentral. Lineage: Bacteria; Bacillati; Bacillota; Bacilli; Caryophanales; Bacillaceae.